Pelobates cultripes (western spadefoot toad) is the source of this 253-nucleotide non-coding RNA. NCBI's taxonomy places the organism in Eukaryota, Metazoa, Chordata, Amphibia, Anura, Pelobatidae. The record is from the annotation of a GenBank genome assembly.
CUGGAAAGAGGUAAGUGUGUGUGUGUGACUGUUUGCCUGUUUGUGUGACUGUCUGUCUGUGUGUGUGUGUGACUGUCUGUGUGACUGCCUGCCUGUGUGCGUGUGACUGUCUGUGUGUGUGUGUGUGUGUGUGUGACUGUCUGUGUGACUGCCUGUCCUUGUGUGUGUGUGUGACUGUCUGUCUCUGUGUGUGUGUGUGACUGUCUCUGUGUGUGACUGCCUGCCUGUGUGUGACUGUCUGUGUGUGUGACUG